This 1382-nucleotide ribosomal RNA is filed under the name metagenome. RNAcentral describes it as "bacterial SSU rRNA". It matches the Rfam family "Bacterial small subunit ribosomal RNA". The record is from RNAcentral.
AAAUAAUGUGCUUGCACAUUAUUUAUUAGUGGCAAACGGGUGAGUAGCGCGUAGGAAUCUGCCUCUCGGUAGGGAAUAGCUUUGAGAAAUUAGAGGUAAUACCCUAUGAGUUUAUGCGAAUAAAGAAAGAUUUAUCGCCGAGAGAGGAGCCUGCGUCAGAUUAGGUAGUUGGUAGGGUAAUGGCUUACCAAGCCAGAGAUCUGUAGCUGGUCUGAGAGGAUGAUCGGCCACACUGGGACUGAGACACGGCCCAGACUCCUGCGGGAGGCAGCAGUGGGGAAUAUUGGACAAUGGGGGAAACCCUGAUCCAGCGAUGCCGCGUGAAUGAUGAAGGCCUUCGGGUUGUAAAAUUCUUUCACUUGUGAGGAUAUAAAGACAUUAGCAAGAUAAGAAGCUCCGGCUAACUUCGUGCCAGCAGCCGCGGUAAUACGAGGGGAGCUAGCGUUGUUCGGAAUUAUUGGGCGUAAAGGGUGCGUAGGCGGCUCUGUAAGUAUUGUGUAAAAUCCCUGGGCUCAACCUUGGGGUCGCGCAGUAGACUGCAGUGCUAGAAGGUGAUAGAGGAAAACGGAAUUUCUGGUGUAGAGGUGAAAUUCGUAGAUAUUAGAAGGAACGUCAGAGGCGAAGGCGGUUUUCUGGGUCACUAUUGACGCUGAGGCACGAAAGUGUGGGGAGCAAACAGGAUUAGAUACCCUGGUAGUCCACACUGUAAACGAUGAGUGCUAUACGUCGGAUUUAUAUUCGGUGUUGAAGCUAACGCAAUAAGCACUCCGCCUGAGGACUACGAUCGCAAGAUUAAAACUCAAAGGAAUUGACGGGGGCCCGCACAAGUGGUGGAGCAUGUGGUUUAAUUCGAUACUACGCGAAGAAACUUACCAGCCUUUGACAUAUUAAGUGUAGAACUUGGAAACUUGUUCUUUCGGGUUAAGCCGGCUUUUUACAGGUAUUGCAUGGCUGUCGUCAGCUCGUGUCGUGAGAUGUUGGGUUAAGUCCCGCAACGAGCGAAACCCCUUUCCUUUAUUGCCAGCAUUAGGUUGGGAACUUUAAGGAUACUGCCGGUUAUAAGCCGGAGGAAGGAUGGGAUGACGUCAAGUCCUCAUGGUCCUUAUGGGCUGGGCUACACACGUGCUACAAUGGCGAUUACAACGGGUUUUAAUCCUUAUAAAAUCGUCUCAGUUCGGAUUGUUCUCUGCAACUCGAGAGCAUGAAGUUGGAAUCACUAGUAAUCGCGGAUAAGCAUGUCGCGGUGAAUACGUAAACGGGCCUUGUACACACCGCCCGUCAAGCCAUGGGAAUUGGUUUUUCCUUAAAGUGAUCUGCUAACCCGUAAGGGGGGCGUUCAAAUAAGGUGGAGCUAGUGACUGGGGUUAAGUCGUAACAAGGUA